RNAcentral lists this long non-coding RNA (6949 nucleotides) under Eucalyptus grandis. RNAcentral's name for it is "long non-coding RNA (EGRA_LNC004583)". Lineage: Eukaryota; Viridiplantae; Streptophyta; Magnoliopsida; Myrtales; Myrtaceae. The record is from RNAcentral.
CAGAGUAACAUAUAUCUCUCUUGCCUCAAUAUAUUUCGACCAUAUUUGCACUGUCUGCCAGUAAUAAGUCUGACGAGUUUUUGCAAGACAACCAUUCUAAUACAAAAGCUCAUAGGCCUGCAUCUUUUAAUGAGCUAAUAAAGCACUGAUAUUAAACUGCAUUAGGCUUUCUACCUGUAUAUGAGUGCUCGAUACCCCCUAGCAGUGAGGUUUUUGUGGUACUUAAUCAUGCUUCCAGCAUCAUGAUAAAAUGAGAUUCUGUCUGUGCAUAACUCCCAAGUGCCCGCCAUGCUUUGCUGUUUGUAGUUCAAGGACCAUAUAAGUAAUAAACCAAGAAGAAAUGGGAAGUUGCAAGUAAUUAAUGAUAUUUGCAAAAGCACACCUCUUCUGCAUGAAUCGCUUUCCUGACAUCUUUAUCAUUCAGCCACGUGGUCGCAACUUCAUCAUCCUGGAAAUGUGUAUGUAGUUCAGAAUCCUCAACUAGUUAUCAAGUGAAAUCAGAUAGAGAUACUGGGGAGAAGGUAGGGAGGAAACAAGAAGAUCAACGAGAACACCUAGAUGAGGGUGCCACGUACACCGAUUAAUAGAACAACAAUCAACUGUAGCUGAAGGGACAUCUUACCAAAAGAAGUAAAGAAUAACAAACAUGUUAAUAUACUGAAAAGUUUACAGCAUAUAAACCAUGAAUACAACGCAAGCAAUGUGCAAGGAUGCAGAUUGAUAUAAUGAAAGCAAUAAAAUAAAAUAACAAAAACGACAAAAGGCAAUAGAGUUUUAUGCAGAAAUAGUUUGUAAGUAAGGUCUUUUAGGCAAGGCAAACUUACAGUUCAUGAAGGUGGACAAAAGAAUCAACGAUAAAGAGAUGCAGUGCAGGGGGACUUACAGUGCAUGGAAUAGAGUUGCUAUUGAGAAGCUCCGACCAUGUUGGAACACGUCCAUCCCUCACAGGAGCUCUAAGAGGCCAGGCACGGCCAAACAUCCUAUUUCUCACAGGAAGAGGUCGCUCAGUCUCUCCCAAUCGCCUAAAGCUAGCAGGUAACCUAUCAUUAUCAGCCGGAACCGACCACGUUGAUGGCCCAUGGUAGCAUGGUUCUAGGAUGUCAUAUAUGUUUAAACCACCUACAUCCUGGGAUCAAUCAAACUCUUGAGUGAUAGGAGAAAUUUUAACAAAAUCAUCCACUAUCCUCAUUUGCAUGUGAUAAAGGGGCAGUUGUCACACGCACCUGAUCAACUUUUGUGAGUUUGCUCUCACAAGUUGAACUGAGUGGCUUAUAGUAAUUCCCCUUGCAUUCCCUCUUAACCUCCUGCGGAAUAGCAUUAUCAAUUUUGCUGCUCGACUAAUUUAAUCACAUGACAGAUGCAUUAGGCAGUUCUUGUCCCUCCCAAUUAGACAGUAGGUUGGUCCGUCAGUAGUCUCCAGGGGACUAGAUUAGGCUUUAGCUCUCCAAACCAACAAUCAUGUGAACAAAUUAACAACAGCACAAGCAUUAAGAAGAAGAUCGAGUAAGCAAAUACUGAGGCACUAGAAGGCUAUCAACAAAAAGCUUCACAAGAAAAGGCUCGAUAUCUAUGCCCAAAGCAGCAGCCAAAAGGGGCUUUACUCUACCUCAAACAAGUCAUCUGAAAUCAGGCCCAUCCCAUGCGCAAAUGGAAUGAGAGCGUUGCCGUCAAAUUCCUCAUCAGUGUCUCCAUUACCAACAAUAUAACCCUGUCAAUUCAAACAUAUUAUUUGACCAAAAAAACUCAAUUCUGUUAGAAGCAUUUGAUCAAAUUUGACAAUCUGGUUGCCUAGAGAAUGUACCUUGAGAUUGAGAAUGGGCUUCACGCCAGUAUCAAUACCUGCCAAAGGAUUUAUAUUUGCAAUUAAAGGUCAAUACUAAAUCAGGUACUAAAAACUGCAAGAAUGCGUACCAUUCGCUACUUCAAUCGCAAGAGUUGGCACAUAGAUCCCUGCAUACGACUCUCCAGCUAUGAAGAAUGGGUUGGGAAGGAACUCCGGGUAGAGCUCAAACCACUGACUCACAAUGCAACAUGUUGUCAAGACAAAUUGAUAUGAGAGAGAGAGAGAAUAUCAUACUUAUGAUAACUUCAACUUUUGUACCUUGAGGAGAAAUGUAUGAGAAUCAAGAGCGGUCUUUAUGUCACCAGUUUUGUAGUCGCUCGAAUUUUUGGAAUAAGAAAAUCCAACACCAGCAGGAGAAUCCAAGUAAAUAAUGUUGGAGACCUAUGAAGUCAAAAUCAGAGGAGGCAAUCUCAUUAAAAGCGUGACAUUCAUAGUUGACAAGAGGAGUAUCAUCUUAUGUUCAGCUGCUUCAGAUUUUUUUUUUUUUCUGUAUUAUCGAAAAUCCUUUGGACAAAUCUACGAUCUUACCAAAAAUAAAUAAAAAUCUACGAUUAGGUUUCAACCUUGGACCAGCUGUAGGGAUUCAAAUGCAGAUGCGGUAGGCUUUGCUGUGUCUUUGCUGCUUCAAAAUUGAAACAUCCUGCGGAACGUCAUGGGGUCAAGUAGAAGUGUACAAAAUGAAGUCUUACAUUCUAAAUUGAGCUUAAGAUGACAAUUUCAUAUAACUACAAUCUCAGGGAAUCUUUCAGCCAAGAUGUCGCUCCAGAGACCUUCGUAAUAAAAACAAAGCUUACGUGUUGCGUUAUGUAGUGAGCACAAAAUUGAAACUGCCUAUCACGACGAGCUGUGCAAAAGACAAGUGGAAACCUGAGAGAGGGUAAUCAGAUGAUCAUCUCUCACACCAGUUAGACAACUUUAUUCCCAUUAGCAACUCAUGAACUUACCAAAACAAUAACCAAAUUCCAGUGACGCUCAUGGUCUAGAAUCCCCAGACAGAACAUGAUUCCACUACGAUCGGCGGUGUGAAAGUUUAAUCUUGACAAAAUGAGUCAACACGAGUGUGGAUAACAAAAAGUCUGUACCAUGCUCAUACACGAAACCAUCAAAGCUCGAGCAUCCCGGUCCUCCAUUUAGCCACAGAACCACCGGAUCCUUCGAUGGGUCCCCUUCCGAUGUCGCAAAAUAGUAGAACAAGCGCUUCUCAUGGUCCGGAUCAAUCGUCACGUACCUUCAUCCAAAACCCGAAUAGGAGACAACAAUUACGAGCAGACCCGAUACAACAGUACAAAACGCCAGAACCAGCGAAUACAGAGUUUUAUCUUCCCCCUCCAUAUCAAUAGUCAAAGACCCUAGGCUUCGAUAAACGACGUAAAGCAGCGACCUUUGAGUGUAAAUCGGAAUAAAGUGGCGUACCCAGAAUAGUGUUCGGAAGGGAAAGAGCCAUUGAACCCAGGAAGCUGAGUUAUCAGAGCGCUCUCGGGAGCACACCGAGUCAACACAAAACAAGAACACAAGAGAACCAGCGCACCACCGUACAAGACAAGACCACUCUUGGCCAUGGAAAUGUCCUGUCCUCGGUCCCAGUGAUGGAUCGAUCCUCAAUGUCCGCAAAAAAACAAGGAUAAUGAUUGAUAUGUAAGAAGAAAGACUAUUUAUAUGGAUAGAUUCCGAGCCAAGAAAAGAGAUACCGUCUGGAGUGUCGUCGCUUUUGUGCUACGAUUUAGAAGACAAGGUGAAACGCUGCAAAAAAUUCAUGGUCUCUCCUUUAAAACUGACACAAACCAACAGGUGCCGUGUCCGCAAUGAUUCUCUUCCCAGUGGCUGAGUGGUUUAAAGAAAACCCGUCUUUUCUUGGAAUGAUCCGGACAUGGGUUUCUUGAUUUUCAUUGGACCCGAAUGAAAAACUCCUGCAAGAAAAUCUUCAUCAGAGAUUAUCAUCGUCAUCAUUAUCAUCACCAUUACAAUUCGUGCGGCUGUGUCAGAGUUUCAGGCUUCCCGGGAUUCCCGGGUCAAAUCCGAUCUGGGGCGUGAGGAAUGUUGGCGAGGGAGUGAAUUAGCAGUUCGGGCAGCGCUGAAGUGGCUUCAACGGCACGAGAUGCACGAAGUGCUUCUGUACUUCCCCCUGAUCUGCCAACGCCCGUAUCAACCCACAGCUUAUCCGCGGUUAAAUGUAUUAUGGGCCGGUCCAAAACGCCAUGGACUUCCAGGUCCAAGAUUGCACUAACCUGCUGGGCCAAUUAGGAGGAAUUAUUAUCCGUUUUGAACAAGAUAUUAUAAUAAAACGGCCAACUGGGUCGCUAGGCCCACCGAGCCAGCUCUCUCUCAAUGGACUGGAUUAUAAAUUCAUCCAAUUCCCUUUGAUUGCUCUUAUGUUCGAAUUGAUCCUUUUGUAAUCCGUCAUUUUCGGUUUAGUAAUGAACAUCAGUUUUUCUGACAGAAAAAAUAAAAAGGGGAGGCCAACGAGGCGGGAGAGAGAGAGACUGAGAUUGAUUCCAUCCAAAGAUAAAGAAAAAGAAAAAGGCUCUUUUCAGAGAGAGAGAGAGAGAGUGUUUGAGCUCUCCUUGCCCAUUUGUUGGCUUGCCAAUCAUGAUGGAGGCGUCAAAUUCCAUUUUUCUCUGUCUGGGUUCGGAUUGCGGGGGCGCGAGCGUGCAGUGGCGGGUUUCUUGGUACAGAGAAACAUUGUGAAAAAGUCGCCUGAUAGGCCGCGACAAUUUCACACCAAAUGAAUGAUUUGAAAAAUGCUAUUACAAAAACGAUUAUUUAUAAUUAUUAUAAAAUGCUAUCUCUACCUAACUGGCCUUUUAUAUCGAUCACACGCGCAUCGCACAGUGGUUUUGGGCUCAGCAAAUGGGCUCGAACUUGUAUUAUCCCAAGUCUGCACAAAUCAAAUCCAUCAAAACCAUUGAUCAAGGGCUCUGAUAGCCAUAAUUUCAUGAUUUCUUUUUACAAUGGAGUGGUUUGUCUAUAAUGGGCGGCACUCGUAUCUUUAGGUGAUCUGAAAUUUAGUCUUUCUAACCCGAUUGAAAGAUGAUUAUAGGCGGAUUGAUUUGCCGAUCAUGACCAUAAUUUCUCUUGCUUUAGGGCUACUAAACAUGUUCAUUGGAAUCUUUCGACUUCACUGGCCCAGUCAAUGAGAACAAAGCAAAGAAACAAACAAUAAAGUAUCUGUAAUUUCAUGUGCAGUUAUGUCGGAAGUUACAUGUCCGUGUACCAAGCAAUGAGAUGAAUGCUCGAGACCGCAAUAAGGAUUUGCAUAUGCCAAUUUAACCGUUUCCUUCCAUUUCGAACGAAUCUUCAUAUUUAGCUCCCUAAAAGCAUUACUAGAACAAUGCAAGCAUAGCGGCGCGCCUCAAUCUAUUCGAGACCGGUUCUGUUCAGUGUGCUUUCGCAGGGAACAACAGUCGAGAAUUUUGAUGUUGGAAAUUGAAAUGCACGUUCGUUGUUGCUCUGUAUGAACAAUUCAUGUUCUAUCGACAUCUUUAUAUCUAUCGAAUUAUCAAAGUCCUCGAUAUUCCAUAUCAGAGCGGAAGGAGAAAAGCACAAGAUGGAAGAAAGUAUUUCUCUGAAUUUCUCUCCUCCACUCUCUAUUCUGCAGUUACGGGCAUUGAACAGCACGCUAUUCUCCUAUCAUAUCCGCUUUCCUGCCAGAAAACGGCUGUAGAAAUCCAGUGCCUCUUGAGGUUUGUAUUCUGGGACCGUGUGUCCAGCUCCCUGCACCAAUGAAAACCAGAAGAAAUACUAGUAAGUCGAAUAUCGUGACAGCUUAUUAACAUACUGAAGGAGAAUGCAUAUGCAAAGCACAUUUCUUGCAGACCUUGAUGGUUAAGAAGGUGAGGUUGUUUUCAUAUCCCUGAAGGUACCUGCAGCCAAAUGAAGUAUUAAUAUCGCAACCCUGAGUUCACAACAUUGACUCAAAAAUCUAAGGUAAGUAAAUUCUUCAGACUGUGUAGGGUCAUGCCAAAAUACCCGGCAAUUUGAUUAUUGGAAUUCCAAGGCCGCCACUCAUCCACAAUUUUAUACCCCACAGACCUUGUCCAUGCUUGGCUACCGGUGUAGGGAACGCACAUAUCAUGAUCACCACUGCCACAAGCAAAACAGUUGCAAAUCCCAUCAGUAGCUAAAGAAGAAAAACUCUGUCACAUUCGUGUGAUUAAUAAUGUCAAAUUGGCCAAAAGUUCGCUGAUACAUCUGCAGGUGCAUGUCAAAAUAUCUCCAUGGUGUAAAGGAGAAAACAGGACCAGGAAUCAUAGAUAAAUUCACAUGCAUAAAGAAAUCAGUCUAAAAGCAGUUUAGAGUAGUUUUCUUAUUAUUUCCACAGAUACUUGGUGUCUCGGUAAUCGUAAAAAAAUUCGCAAAAAGCAUCCAGAUGGAGCUUACAGAACCAUAGUAGUUUCCUAUACCAGGGACCCUGAUAAUCUCCUGAACGGUGCUGUCAAUUUAUUUCACACAGUUGAAGUUAAAUUGCAAGAAAGGCAUUUACUAUAGCAGAAUUGCUCUUUACGUUCCUCUGUCACAGGCGAACGAAUCGACCUUGAAUUUUUGAAUUUGAUGUUGAGACAUUUUCUACUAUGCCUUACUAUCAGUGUGAAUUUCCAAUGCUUGCUUUGGCUCAGACCUAGCAUUAUACCUUCAGGACCUAGCAUUCUUUUAUCUUUAUUCAUUGGUGUGUCCAUCUUUCAUCAAACACAGGCACAAGAAUAUAGUGGCCCGCCAGGAAAUCUUUAGACAUCAGCAUUCCAUUUGGGUGUAGAAAAGUAUGACACGAGUACAAGGGAAAGCAACGACUCCAAAGUUGAUAGGGAGGGAGAUAUAUUAACAGCAUAAAAAGGUCGAGUUGAGUCAUCUUGCCAGAGUAAUAGACAUCUCUCUCGCCUCAAUAUAUUUCAACCAUAUUUGCACUGUCUGACGGUAAAAGUCUGACGAGUUUUUGCAAGAUGACUAUUCGAGUAAAAAAGCUUGUAGGCAUGCAUCUUUUAAUAAGCUAAUAAAGCACCGAUACUAAACUGCAUUGAGUUGGCUUUCUACCUGAAUAUGAGUGCUCGAUACCCCCUAGAAGUGAGGUUUUUGUGGUACUUAAUCAUGCUUCCAGCAUCAUGAUAAAACGAG